UUUCCGUUGGUGAACCAGCGGAGGGAUCAUUACCGAAGUUACCUUCAAAACCCACUGUGAACCUUACCUCUUGCCGCGUUGUCUCGGCAGGAGGCGGUGUGCGUCGCGCGCCCUAGCGGGCCGUGCCGCUCCCGUCCCCGCCGGCAGCGCCAAACUCUAAAUGCACAGCGGACUGCACGUUCUGAUUUACAAAAAAAACAAGUUAAAACUUUCAACAACGGAUCUCUUGGUUCUG
This 235-nucleotide unclassified non-coding RNA is filed under the name plant metagenome. RNAcentral describes it as "partial contains small subunit ribosomal RNA, internal transcribed spacer 1, and 5.8S ribosomal RNA". The record is from RNAcentral.